AUACUUACAUGGCAGGAGAGAUACCAUGAUAACAAAGGUGGAUUUCCCAGGGCAAAGCUCAUCCAUUGCACUCCGGAUGUGCUGACCCCUGCGAUCUCCCCAAAUGCAUAAUUUGUGGUAGUGGGGGACUACAUCCAUGUUCUCCCCUA
This 149-nucleotide small nuclear RNA is filed under the name Jaculus jaculus (lesser Egyptian jerboa). Its description in RNAcentral is "U1 spliceosomal RNA (ENSJJAG00000005516.1)". It matches the Rfam family "U1 spliceosomal RNA". Rfam says of the family: U1 is a small nuclear RNA (snRNA) component of the spliceosome (involved in pre-mRNA splicing). Its 5' end forms complementary base pairs with the 5' splice junction, thus defining the 5' donor site of an intron. There are significant differences in sequence and secondary structure between metazoan and yeast U1 snRNAs, the latter being much longer (568 nucleotides as compared to 164 nucleotides in human). The record is from Rfam by way of RNAcentral. Lineage: Eukaryota; Metazoa; Chordata; Mammalia; Rodentia; Dipodidae.